This is a long non-coding RNA of Monopterus albus (swamp eel), 319 nucleotides long. RefSeq lists it as uncharacterized. NCBI's taxonomy places the organism in Eukaryota, Metazoa, Chordata, Actinopteri, Synbranchiformes, Synbranchidae. The record is from RefSeq and is a predicted model, not a curated record. The transcript has 3 exons.
CAUAGCUCGCUAGCUUUAACUAUCAAAACAGAGCAGUCACAUGUCUGCAUGCAACUGCAAUGCCUUGUGGAAGACUCUUGGCUUGCACACUGAGUGCAAAAACAGGGUGCACACAAGUAGGAAGUAAACUGACAGUGGCAGUAAACAGUGGAUGACUUCUGAGCUGCAGUAUAUCCCGAGCGUCUCUUGACACAAGGCCCCCACUGAUCCCAGGGUAUAAAAGGUGUUUUUUGAACCAGCAUGGCUCAUUCCAAAGACGGACCAUGGAGGCUACCCGUGCAGGUCCAACCCAGGAUGGGAGCAGAACCAAGAGGCCACG